RNAcentral lists this long non-coding RNA (1002 nucleotides) under Strigops habroptila (Kakapo). RNAcentral describes it as "lncRNA (ENSSHBG00005013036.1)". The record is from RNAcentral. Lineage: Eukaryota; Metazoa; Chordata; Aves; Psittaciformes; Psittacidae.
UGAUAGCAGCAUCUUUGUCACCCCCCGCAACCCUCGGUGCCCCCAGCUCUGCGCUGUGUUACACUCAGUCACUGACUGAGCCUCACAACACCCCUGUGAGGUAGGGACGGAGACACCCGGUUCACAGAUGGGGUGUCCGAGCAUCCUCUUGCUGCCACAGGCACCCUCGUGCUCACACUCGCCUCUAGAACUACGACAUGCAGCGACCUGGCCUGAACCGAGCAGCAAAACUCACAUUGGUUGAAUAAAUUGGGCUCAAACUCGAAUAAGAAACAUCAUUUCAAGGUGGUCCCUCAGCCAUUUGACUUUGCAACAACCUCAAGUUAAAUCAGAGCUGACACCUGGAGUUAUGCCCUGCUCAGCCUUUUGGGUCCGAAGCGGGAGAAGCUGGAUGGGCUGAUGCUGGGUUGGGGUGUGCAGGGCCCUCCUGAGCAGCAGGACCCCACACUUGCACCCCGAGCACGGGUAAGGUCCCCACUGAGCAGCCCUUUGUCACUCCAUGGGGAACCCCACUGGAUGCAUGGAGAAAACAAGAAGCCAACAGGGAUGCGAUGGUCUCACAGGGACCCACUGGCAACGGGCUCACUGGUGGCUCUAGAUCACAGAAUCACGGAUCCCUUGGGUUGGAAAGGACCUUAAAGCUCAUCCAGUUCCAACCCCCUGCCACGGGCAGGGACACCUUCCACUAGAGCAGGUUGCUCCAAGCCCCUGUGUCCAACCUGGCCUUGAACACUGCCAGGGAUGGGGCAGCCACAGCUUCUCUGGAAGUGCCUCACCCCCCUCCUAGAUCUGCUUUGGCCCAUCUUUUAGUACAAGCAACAGAGGUGAAGCACUGCAGACCAACGUCCUCCCUUGCCAGAGCAGGUCCGAGGUGGGCAGCAGCAGCAGAACCAUCCCUUGUGCAUGGACACAUCCCCAUCACAUCACAAUGCCCAAGGGCACUGACAGCAUCAGUCCCCACGGACCCAGCACAGGCAGCUCAGAGCAAGGUACCCACAGAGC